Molecule: ribosomal RNA, 465 nt
Filed under: Vreelandella stevensii
Lineage: Bacteria; Pseudomonadati; Pseudomonadota; Gammaproteobacteria; Oceanospirillales; Halomonadaceae
Description: partial 16S ribosomal RNA
Rfam family: Bacterial small subunit ribosomal RNA
Source: RNAcentral
CCUACGGGUGGCAGCAGUGGGGAAUAUUGGACAAUGGGCGAAAGCCUGAUCCAGCGAUGCCGCGUGUGUGAAGAAGGCCUUCGGGUUGUAAAGCACUUUCAGUGGGGAAGAAAGCCUUGGGGCUAAUACCCUCGAGGAAGGACAUCACCCACAGAAGAAGCACCGGCUAACUCCGUGCCAGCAGCCGCGGUAAUACGGAGGGUGCGAGCGUUAAUCGGAAUUACUGGGCGUAAAGCGCGCGUAGGCGGUCUGAUAAGCCGGUUGUGAAAGCCCCGGGCUCAACCUGGGAACGGCAUCCGGAACUGUCAGGCUAGAGUGCAGGAGAGGAAGGUAGAAUUCCCGGUGUAGCGGUGAAAUGCGUAGAGAUCGGGAGGAAUACCAGUGGCGAAGGCGGCCUUCUGGACUGACACUGACGCUGAGGUGCGAAAGCGUGGGUAGCAAACAGGAUUAGAUACCCUUGUAGUC